CAGUCGCCGCGGUAAUACGAAGGGUGCAAGCGUUAAUCGGAAUUACUGGGCGUAAAGCGUGCGUAGGCGGUGAGUUAAGUCUGCUGUGAAAUCCCCGGGCUUAACCUGGGAACUGCGCUUGUGACUGCACAGCUAGAGUAUGGCAGAGGGGGGUGGAAUUCCACGUGUAGCAGUGAAAUGCGUAGAGAUGUGGAGGAACACCGAUGGCGAAGGCAGCCCCCUGGGCCAAUACUGACGCUCAUGCACGAAAGCGUGGGGAGCAAACAGGAUUAGAUACCCCCGUAGUCCCUGUCUCUUAUAC
This 301-nucleotide ribosomal RNA is filed under the name uncultured bacterium. RNAcentral's name for it is "partial 16S ribosomal RNA". It matches the Rfam family "Bacterial small subunit ribosomal RNA", at positions 509 to 807 of the family's 1533-position model. The record is from RNAcentral.